AACGCGAAGAACCUUACCAAGGCUUGACAUCCUGUGAAAGACUUCGAAAGAAGACUGUGCCUUUUGGAACACAGUGACAGGUGAUGCAUGGCCGUCGUCAGCUCGUGUCGUGAGAUGUUUGGUUAAGUCCAUUAACGAGCGCAACCCCUAUAGUUAGUUGUUUAUCUAGCUAGACUGCCCUGGUAACAGGGAGGAAGGAGGGGAUGAUGUCAGGUCAGUAUUUCCCUUACGUCUUGGGCUACAAACACGCUACAAUGGCCGGUACAAAGGGCAGCCAAGUCGCAAGACGGAGCAAAUCCCAUCAAAGCCGGUCUCAGUUCGGAUUGUAGGCUGAAACUCGUCUGCAUGAAGCUGGAAUCGCUAGUAACGGUAGGUCAGCACUACUACCGUGAAUACGUUCCCGGGCCUUGUA
This 412-nucleotide ribosomal RNA is filed under the name uncultured Candidatus Saccharibacteria bacterium. RNAcentral describes it as "bacterial SSU rRNA". It matches the Rfam family "Bacterial small subunit ribosomal RNA", at positions 958 to 1385 of the family's 1533-position model. The record is from RNAcentral. Lineage: Bacteria; Candidatus Saccharimonadota.